GCACAAAAGAGAAAGGCGGCCAUUGUUACUCCCGGUCCUAGUGAAAAGCCAACUGUCCCGGUUGAUGUAUUAUCAAAUAGAUAUUUGAAAAACACCCUGAGAAUUGAUUAUAAAAAAAACGUUUGACAUGUUUCUGUGCAGAUUAUGGAUAUAAUUUGACAUUUUUGUCUGCGUUGUCAUGACCGCUCUUUCCGGUGGAUUCCUGGGCAUAACGCACCAAACUAACGGAGGUAUUUGGAUAUAAAAAAUAACUUUAUGGAACAAAAGGAACAUUUGUUGUCUAACUGGGAGUCUCGUGAGUGAAAACAUCCGAAGAUCAUCAAAGGACCUGAGCCCAAGGACUAUGCCUCAGGACUACCUGGCCGGAUGACUCCUUGCUGUCCCCAGUCCACCUGGUCGUGCUGCUGCUCCAGUUUCAACUGUUCUGCCUGCAACUUCAUCAAACGUGCUACCUUGUCCCGGACAUGCUGUUUUCGACUCUCUCUCGCUAACUCUGAAUGAUCAGCUAUGAAAGCCAACUGACACUUCCUCCUGAGGUGCUGACCGGUUGCACCCUCUACAAUUACUGGGAUUAUUAUUAUUUGACCCUGCUGGUCAUCUAUGAACGUUUGAACAUCUUGGCCAUGUUCUGUUAUAAUCUCCACCCGGCACAGCUAGAAGGGGACCGGCCACCCCUCAGAGCCUGGUUCCUCUCUAGGUUUCUUCCUAGGUUCCAGCAAUUCUAGUUUUUCCUAUCAACUGUGCUUCUACAUUUGCAUUGCCUGCUGUUUGGGGUUUUAAGCUGGGUUUCUGUAUAGCACUUUGUGACAUUGGCUGAUGUAAAAAGGGCUUCAUAAAUACAUUUGAUUGAUUGAACAAUGUUGAAUGGGUGAAAACAAAGAAGGACUCUCCAAUAGUAGUACCAAAACAUUGAAAGACAGUUCUCAAAAGUGAGUUUACAAGUUGAUCAACUUUCAAAGCAGAAUUAGUUUCCCAUUGUUUCCUCAAAUGCAGUGUAUGAUAUACCAUUUUGUAGCUCUGAGUCUCUACUUUAUAUCCAGUGUAAAAAACAGAAAUGUAAAUGUUGCUACCUCUGACUGAAUCCAGGUGGUGAGUCACACAUAUAAGUAUUUAUAUUGUAUGAAUGUGAAGUUCAUUUUGGUUUUCAUGUGAAGUCAUACAGUAAGACAAGGUAUUUGUGGAUAAAAAAUUAAUUGUGCUUUAGGUAAAUUUCAUGUAUGUUGUGUAAUUUAAAGUGUACACUUGUUUGAUGUGAAUGUUUUAAUAGUACGACUAAACUAUAUGGAAUUGUUUUAAAAAGGUCAUACCAAUGAUCAUUUUGCAAUUUGAUUUAGAAUGUUAAGACUCUUUCAAGUAUAACAAAUAUACACUACCGUUCAAAGGUUUGGGGCCACUUAGAAAUGUCCUUGUUUUUGAAAGAAAAGCACAUUUUUUGUCCAUUAAAAUAAAAUAAAAUUGAUCAGAAAUAUAAUGUAGACAUUGUUAAUGUUGUAAAUGACUAUUGUAACUGGAAACGUCUGAUUUUUAAUGGAAUAUCUACGUAGGCGUAUAGAGGCCCAUUAUCAGCAACCAUCACCGCUACUGUAUGUUCCAAUGAACUGCGCAAACUGUCUCUAACCAGAAUAGAAAGAGGAGUAGGAGGUUCCAGUGCACAACCGAGCAAAAGGACAAGUACAUCAGUGUCUAGUUUGAGGAACAGAUGCCGCACAAGUCCUCAACUUGCAGC
Molecule: long non-coding RNA, 1726 nt
Organism: Oncorhynchus tshawytscha (Chinook salmon)
Lineage: Eukaryota; Metazoa; Chordata; Actinopteri; Salmoniformes; Salmonidae
Source: Ensembl